CCGCGCUAAGCGGGGAGGUAGCGGUGCCCUAUGCCUGCAAUCCGCUAUAGCAGGGUCGAAUUCUCGUCCUGAGGCCAAAGACUGCGGAACCGGACUUCAUGAAGGAAUGUUGAUCUCCGGGUCCUGUGCAAUCGCUCGCCGUGAACCAUGUCAGGUCCUGACGGAAGCAGCAUUUAGCGGAGAGAGCGGUGUGCCGCAGGUUCACCUGGAAGGAGUCACCUGAUGAGGAGACGACCACGGGUUCUGCGAUCGAGGGAGGAGUGCGCGG
Non-coding RNA from Clostridium sp. CAG:1024, 268 nucleotides. It matches the Rfam family "Bacterial large signal recognition particle RNA". From Rfam's summary of the family: The signal recognition particle (SRP) is a universally conserved ribonucleoprotein involved in the co-translational targeting of proteins to membranes. Archaeal SRP consists of a 7S RNA and homologues of the eukaryotic SRP19 and SRP54 proteins. In most bacteria, the SRP consists of a 4.5S RNA and the Ffh protein (a homologue of the eukaryotic SRP54 protein). The record is from Rfam. NCBI's taxonomy places the organism in Bacteria, Bacillati, Bacillota, Clostridia, Eubacteriales, Clostridiaceae.